AAUAAGUACAGUUUUACACUGUUCAUAUCCAACGUUUGUCCACUUAUCUUAUUUGAAUUUUUUUUAUAAUUAGUAAUUUUAUUGUUAUUAGAUGAUAAAAAUAUGAUUAGUACUUUAUGUGUAACUAUUCUUUUUUACUUUUUCAUAAAUUUUUAAAAAUAAAACGGACAGUCAAACGUUGGAUAUGGAUAUGAACGGCUACAUUUAUU
Non-coding RNA from Oryza glumipatula, 209 nucleotides. NCBI's taxonomy places the organism in Eukaryota, Viridiplantae, Streptophyta, Magnoliopsida, Poales, Poaceae. The record is from Rfam.